Molecule: non-coding RNA, 7485 nt
Organism: Equus caballus (horse)
Lineage: Eukaryota; Metazoa; Chordata; Mammalia; Perissodactyla; Equidae
Source: RefSeq, a predicted model, not a curated record
CCGAGGACCGGGCGUGGGCUGGCCCCAGGCGCAGGUUCCCGGCCGCCGACUCGCACGCUCUGGCAGCGCCGGAUUCCUCGACUGUAAACCGCCCCCAGGCCGCAGAGGUGGGGAGAGGCUCGGAGAUUGUGAACCUGAACGCACCCAGUGCCGCGGCCAGAGAAGAUGGCGGGAGAAACUGAGGCUCAGUGGGCAGGCCCGGCCUCCUCGGAGUCCAGAGCGAAACCUUUGACACUGAGAUUUAUUGAGAGAGUUGCCACUUUCUGAGCGCUUAAAGUGCGUUGUGGGCGCUUUGGUGCCUUACGUGCGUUAAUUCGCUCAAUGCUCACAAAGACUCUAUGAAGUGGGGCACUGCUAUUAUCCGCAUCUCACAGAUCUGAUCCCAGGCUCAUUUGUCUUUAGAGGCUGGUUACGCCCCCACUCACCUCUUUCGGAGUUGUCCAUGUUCCUGUAGGGGAUUCAUGGCAUCUUAGGGCUGCUUCUUGGGGCAAGGGACGGAGGCUUCCGGCCGGAAGGGACAUGAGAGUGGCAAAGGGCAGCUGGGCAUCUGCCGAAACAAAGACUCGUGCCCCUGUGGGUGAAGACCACAACAAAUGCUGCUGACCGAGGAUCAAGGCAGGGCCCUGAAGGUUGGAGUCUUUGCCCAAAGGAUCUGUUGUCCUUCAGCCCUCACGUUGGCCCUGUCUCCCGGAGGUGUACUGGCUGUGGUGUGACAAGCCUGCCCCUGUGCAUGAGACUCCAUCAGACCAUGACCGCACCCUCAACUUGCCAGCAAGUUCACGGGGAGGAAACAGAAUCUGGAGUCCCAGGCACCUUUCUUGUUCUUAACAAGGCUCGGUUUCAGGAUCUCUCGUGAAGGAACUUCAUUAGAAGGCUCUCCUUCUAGAGGUUGGGAUUCUGUGCUACCUUCUGGAGGCAAGGAAACUGAGGCCCAGAGAGAAGAAGGCAUGAGAUGAGGGAGCCUGCUGUUCCCAGGGAGUUCAGGCUCCCAGUGAGCACUAUGUCCUUCUCUAAUCCAGAGUCCAGGUCACUUCGUCCCAGUGUGCAAGAGAGGCUGACCACAUGGAGUAGAAGUCAAGAGAACCGAGGUCGAGUUGCCGGUUCACACUCACCCAAAAGCCCAGUUGGGCACACUUCCUAUACACAGCCUCACGCAGGUUCACCCAGAGGCCCUGAACACCACAUGCACACCUCCAUGUGUUUAUAGGCCCACGUACGUGCAUACCAUACAAACCCAAGUGCAAACACACGUACACAGCCCCUGCUUCCUUCCCUGUGUUCUCUCCAUCUAAUAAAGGCACACAUUCCUUUUAGCAUCUUUUUCCACGUUGACAGAAAGAACAUUUUUCAAUCCCCCUUUAUGACUUUUGUUGGGUUCUUACUCCGGCUUUUCUGCUAACUCUCUGCAGGCUCUGGUGCUUUCUUUGUGAUUUCCUUUCGGCAUCUGGCCCUGCUCCUCCCCGUGUGCUGGGCGGAGGGGAGGCUGGGCCUUCUCCACUGCUUCUCAGGCUCUUAUCUUGCUUUCACUGCUUAACCUUGCCUGUGUUUAGCCUUUUGAGCCGCUCGGCUUUUUAUCUUGUCUCUGAGGAUUAUGCUGUGCGUCUCCCAAGGGAAGGGACUGUUACUUCAUCCUGGUCUGUGUUGCACCCCCCCCACAGUGGCUGGUUUCCUGCCAGGCUGCUGAUGGGUGCUCAGUUGAUGGAGAAGGAAGGAAGGAGUCCAUGCCCAAUGUGAUUCAGCUCCGUAUGCCAUUUUCUGCAGAGCUCAUCAGCUUGCCCCCGCCUGUCCCAUGCCUGGGAAAGUCAUUCUUGCAACUUUUAAUCUUGUUUUCUCCCUGAACAUCACUCCCACUGCUCCCACCCCUUCCCCUUGGAUCCUCGGAAGCACUCAGCCCACUGAAAUCUGCUUUCUGAAAUUAUUCUUUUUCUUUUGGCUAGCGUCACUCGUUUUCUUUGAAGUGGUCGGGGGCAUCCCCCUUAAAAUGUCAGCAGCUUCACACAUAAGCACUCAAGACUGGGGGCUCCUUAGGGCAGUCCUGGCUCUGGCACAGCACAGUAAUAAUCAUAGGUACGAGCCUCCUCAGUGCCCCGGCAGCUUCUUUUCUCUUCUGCCCUAUCACUCGCCAUUUCCAUUGCUUUUCAGCCACACUAAACCACGCGUGGGUCUCAGAACGGGCCAGACUCUCUCUGAUCUCUAGUGUUUGCUAUUUCCUGUACCCAGAACAUCCAUGGUGUCAGGCAUCUUUGCUCAGGUGAGAUGCCUUCUUGGAUGCACCUUCCCCAGGCUGGAUUAGAUGCCUCGCCCAUGUGCUCCCAUGCAACCUGUCAUGCUGUGAGGCAAUUGUCUAUUUGUCUGUCUCCCCUCCUAGCCUCAGAGUUCCCGCAUAGGUAAGGACCCAACCCUGUAUUCCUCCCGUAGCAUCACACCUCGACAGGAACUGACCCAGAGUAGGAACUUAAUACAUGUAGGCUGUAUGGAUGGUGGGGAAGUUGGGAUCUGAGUAAGGCCUUGAGAGAGUCCCAUGACCUGGGCUAGAAAUCCAGCUCCUUCCAGCCGAUCUGUGUGCGUGGGACAAGUGACUUAACCACUCAUCCCUAGCUGGCUUUUGAGUGUUGGCCAAAUGCCAGAGUGAUGGGGGCCGGAGAUGCAGCAGUGAGCACGUCAGCCCGAGUCCCUGGCCCAAUGUGGCACAGACACGUUGGGUGACAGUGAACGCCACGACUGAAGAAAGGGCUGAGGUGGAGACUAACAGUUGGGCUUCGGGCUGGGGGGUUGGGAAGGCCUCUCUGAGGUGAUGCGCAGGCUGCAUCCUGAAGGAAAAGGGGUAGCUCUGGGGGCGGGGAGUGCAUUUAAGGUGGGAAGAGCAGCACGUUCAGGUCCAGUGCGGGGAAGAGGGAUCUGAUUCCAGAAAGAUCAGGUGUGGCUCAGGGUGGUGAGAAUGGGGGAGAAAGCACCUGGAAGUGAAGUUAGAGGCAGACGGGGGCAGAUGGUGCGGGCCUUUGGAUCGUGGGUCGGGCGGCUGUAUUCAAAAGGCAUUAAGAAGGCAGUGAAGGACGCUAGCAGGGGAGGAGGGCGCUCUGGCUUAUGUUUGGGAGCAGUGUUUGGGAAGCCGAAUAGACAGGAGUCACUGAGGUGACAUGGGAUGACCCGUUGGCUUCUGGCUUGAGGGAUAAGAUGGAUACUGGUGCCACUUACCAACACUGGGGAGGAUAGAGGGAAUCAAGAGUUCCGUUUUGGCCGUAUUAGGUUUGAGAUUCUGUGAGGAUUCAAGUCAAAUAAAUGGUUAGAAAUGAGAGGCUAGAGUCAGGAGGGGCGGCUCUCUGACCUUUGGCUUCUUCCUUGGUGAAAAGGAAAUGUCGGCCGAAUUGACUUCCUAGGGCCACUGCAAGGAUUCAGCGAAAUACGCCCCAUGCAGCACUCAGCAGCGGCCUGGCUAGAGGAAAAUGCCCGUCGGUGACAGCGAGCCAGUCCUCGGACACAGCAGUGGGUGAUGAAAGGAGUCGUUUAAAACACUAAUCUGAAAUCUGCUGCUCAGAAUGAUUCCAAAAACUCAUGGAGAAGAAAGCUCCUCACUCCUGGGUGAGGGCUGUGCCUAAUGACUGCCUUCCAGAGAGCACAGCAUGCAGCACAGAAAGGGGGCAACACCACCCCAGCCGGGUGAGCGAGGGUAACAUCACGGGAAUGCCACACAGAUGGCACUACCCUUGAUGCGAUGCGCUGACAAAUCCCAGUGGAGGGACAUUCCACCAAAUACCCGCCCAGUACUCCUCACAGCUGUCAAGGUCAUCGAAACCAGGGGAAGUCUGAGAAACUGUCACAGCCCAAAGGACUAAACGUGGUGUGGUCUCCUGGAGGCAUUCUGGAAUGGAGAAGGAUACGAGGGAAAAACCAAGGGUUGCGAGUGAGCCCGGGCUUUAGUGAGUAAGACCAUGUCUGUCCUGGUUCAUUAGCUGGGACAGAUGACUAUACUAACGUAACAUGCUAACGGGGGGGGACCUGGGUGCAGGCUGCUCAGUAACUCUUUGUUCUAUCUUUGCAACUUUUUUGUAAAGCUAAACGAUUUUGAAAUACAAAGUUUAUUUUAAAUUAAACAUAAAACCAGCCUGGAGUUGGUGUGCAGGUUAGAUGGGGGUUCUCCCACCUUCUGCACCCAGUGCCACCCCUUCGCCUUUGGAGAAUGUUUCUGGUGGCCCCGUGGGCAGUUCUGCUCUGGUCUGGCCUUGACUCGGUGACUGGGCAAGUUGUCUCAGGCAUCAGUCUUCCACCUGAGAGCCUCGUGUUUGCAAUCUUGGAAACCAUUCCCACACAACCCUCUGCCUCCUCUUGGCUCAGAGCAGGAGUCUAUCUUCUUACUCCAGGGCUGGUGAGAAAACUCAGGUGUCCUUUGGGCUGAGGCAUCAAAGUGUCUGGGGAGCAGGUUGGAAUUAGGGACCCUGAUCCAGCAGUGUGAGGGCUCUUCAUUCAUUGUCAACAAAAAUGUAUUGUGUACCUGUGAUGAGCCAAAGAAUAAAUGCCAAGAAGAAGAGCUAAUAAGAAAAACAAAGAAGGGUGAGAGAAGAGGGAGGUGCUAUGUUAGACUCGUUGAACAGGGAGGGCCUCUCAGAGGUGACAUUUAAGUCAAGACUUGAACGAGGGAGCAAGCCACAUGGACCUAGGGGCAGGAGAAGGAUGGCAGAAGGAACAGCUUGUGCAAAGGCCCUGAGACAGAAUGUGCCCGGUGUGUCUGAGGCAUGUAGAAGCCAGUGAGCGAGGGGAGAGUGAGAGAUGAGAUGAGAUCAAGCAGCCCUGGGAGGUCAGAUCAGGCAGGCCUUGCAGGGUAUGAUGAGAGUUUUGGAUUAUAUUCCUAGUGGGAUGGGAAACCGUUGGAUGGUUUGGAACAGUAACUUAAGGCGAUCUGAUUAACAUCUCAAAAGGCUCUCUCUGGCUAUUGUGUGAGAAUAGACACAGGAAGAGGAGGUGGAAACAGAGAUAAUUAGGAGGCGAUUACAAUAUCCAGACGAGAGAUAAUAGCAGCAGUGAAAGCGGUGAGCAGCUGCUGGGUUCUGGAUGGGUCCUGAAGGGAAAGCCUGUAGCAUGUGCUGGUGGAUUGGAUGCUGGGUAUGAGAAAGAGGUCAAGGAUGAUUCCAAAGCUCUUGGCCUCAGCAGCUGAAGAAUGGAGGGAGAAGGCCGUGCACAGGGGAGCCUUCCACCCCACAGGGCUGAGAGAGGGGAGAGGAGGCCAGAGGCUGGAAGAGGAGGACACAGUAAGGGAGCCAAGAGGGAGCAGUCAGUGAAGCGGGGGGAGAGCAGAGUGCCAUCCACAGGCCAAGUGGAGACAGAGACUCUAUCAGACGUGAGCGUGGGCAUCAAGUGCUCCUGAAAGGUCAAGAAGAAACUGACCCUUGGACUUGGCACCUCGGUCACCGGUGACCCUGGUCAGGGAAACUUUGAUGGGGUCGUGAGGGAAAAAGCCUGAGGAGCGGGAGGAAGUGGCGACAAGAACACGAAGAACUGUCGUGAAGAAUUUCACUGUAAGGGGAGCAGGAGGAGGGGUGGCAGCCAGAGGAGAUCCAGAACCAGGGGAGAUUUUUGGUUUUAACAUGGUUACUGCGAGUUUGCACGUGGACGUGAAAGAGCAGGUAGAGAGGGGGAGCUGAUGAUGUAGGAGAGAGGGGAGUCGCAGGAGCGAAGCCCUGAAGGUGGGAGGACCCCAUGGGUGGGAGCGGGGACACUGACUGCCACAGGCGGGAGGCCGAGGACUGGAGUCAGAGGCAGGCAGGCUGGGAGCUCAGGCCUCCUCCUCACUCUCAUCUCCCAUCAACUGCUCCCUCUUCUCGGUUCUGAGCUGGAAGCUGAGACGGCAAGGAGCUGAGACCCGAGUCUACUUGUCCCCCACCCUCCCGUUUGGGAUGCCACCAGUUCCAGGGUCCCCACAGCCCCUGCCCUCCUGGGAAGACCUGUCGUGGGCACUUUCCCUCUGCCCAGAGGCAACGCUUGUCUCCUCGCUAGUUCACCUCAGACACGAUUUGACUUCUCCUGGUGUUUCCUCUUAUCGACCAGAGUGUACACCUCACUCGGUAACUAACAUGCAGAUGGCAUUUCUGGGACACUUUCACAGAUCUCACUGGAUCCUCUCCCUCGGGAGAGGCAAAGACCGCUUUGGCCUCAGACUUCACCAACUUCCAGAAACUACGGCAAGACAUCAACCUAGUAGGGGGAGAGAAGCCAAGUUCUAGUCUUCAAUCAGAAGAGCGGAAACUGCCCUCGACACGACACUGGCUUGGGAGCUGCAGGCCAGAGCGGGCAGCGACCCACAGCUCCCUGAAGAUCCCCCAGCUCCACGAAGACAUGAGUCAAACCACUGGCCCAGGCUAUGGGCCACAGUCCAGGCCCUCCAACAUGGCUAUGGGAGCGGUCUGAGGGACUAACGGGGACCGACUGGCCCAGCCCGGCGGGAGGCUUUGCAGGGCCUGGGAACAGACUACUGAAUUUCCCCAGGCGCAGUCAUCUCCCAAGAUGACUCCAGACAUCCAGAAUCUGGGACAAGCAGAGAGCAGAGACGGAAGGGGGCUGGCCCACACCUGCACAUGCCCCUUCCCCCUCAGAAGCUAGGAGGGAUCCUCAAGGAGACUGUAGGAAAAGAUCUGAGCUGAUUGGGAAGGGAAAUUCGAGUCUCCUCAAUGGAAACCUGAGUUUUCAGUCACGCCUCUGUGCUGGGCUUUGGCCCCGGCAGGGUGUCAGCUCUGUCCCCUCCAGGCUCCUUCUCCAGGUCGGUCUCUGCCUUGUGGCCCAGCUACCACUAAAUGAAACAAAGGCCAGUACCACCUGACACCAAAGACGUCCGGGAGGUUUUCCCUUUCUUUUCAAAAUCCACUCAUCUAGAGACUCCCCUCGAGCAAACAGGAGGGAAGGGAGAAGCCCUUUCUCUCAGAGGACCCUCCGAGCUGAAGACAGAAACACCUAGUUCUCGGACUUCUCUUCAGAAUGUCAUCUGUCAGUAUUUCCAAGGCAGCUUUCUCUUCCCUGAAGCCUGGAGAAGCUAUGCUCUGGACACCACUCCCUAGGCCGAAGCACCCAGUUCAGGGCCCGGUGUAGGAAGUACGAGAUACCAGUGAUGGUUCGUGAUGUGGGGAAGGAGGACACUGAGAGGAACAGCUCAGAACACGUCCUAGCCCAGCAUUUCUCCACCUCGGCACUGCUGUCGUUCUGCGCCGCACCGUUCCCUGUUGUGGGGGCUGUCCUGCGCACCACACAAUGUUUAGCAGCAUCCGUGGUCUCUACCCACUCCAUGCCAGUAGCAUCUCCACUCCCAGUUAUUGACAACCAAAAAUGUCUCCAGACAUUGCCAGAUGUCCCCUGGGGGCAAAAUCGCCUCCGGAGGAGAGCUACCGUCUAGAUGAGUCUUAUUUGUGUGUGUGCUGGGGGAGGACAGGAAGAAUGGGGUAUAGAGGAGGGGAGUCAGUACUCACGCCAAUGAAGGGGAUGAAUUUCUGAUAAGAGUCUUCA